GUCUUUAAAAUGGUGUAAAAUAGUCAUAUGUUUGAAAAAUUGAAGUUUUCGGAUUUUCGAGGACUUUGUAUUUCGCGCCACGCCCAUCAUUGGAUAUUGGAGCAGGUGUUCCGCUAGUGGAACGUCUAGAUGUAAGAGUUUUAAGGUUAAAAGUUAAAGAUGGAGGGGGGAAUUACUUUAAAAAUGUCAGAGAUAUUACCUUGUGUUAAACACAUUUUAGUCUGAAAAAAGUAAACAAUAAAUGUGAACCCAAAAUAUCUGCAUUAUUUUGACUACCUAUCAUAAAAGUCAUUUUGGAACAUUAAAGUCAAUGUCUUGAAGUACUCAACACCAGAUAUUAUUGUUUUAAACACACAUUUAUUUUUUCUAACCCAAAUUAUUGAUACAUUCUUUCCCACUUUACUCAGUGUCUUGAAAGGUUCAUGAGAAGAAAUGAUGAAGGGACAAAAGAUCCAUAGACAUUAAAACCAUUAGAUGGUGAUUGCGCUGACGUCAUCCACAUAUUCCUAUGGAAAACUCCCGAUGGCUGCGCAUCAUCAGAGAUACUUUUGAGGAUAUGGGAAACCAGAGACACUUGAGGAGAUGGGAAACUCAUUAACGCCCUUUGUUGCCCAUGCGUCGUCAAUGGGCUGAGCGGUACAUUCAGGGCGAUUCUAGGACAAGUAGAGCUCUCCGUCAAGGAGUAAAAUGGAGUCAAUUAGGCGCGAGCUCAAAAACCCAACAUUAGCAUGAAUUUUGUAAACAAGAAGUACACCAUUGCAAAUCUUUUCCGAGAUGUAACUUGUUCUCUGCAAUAUUGUAUAGUUUUGGAAUCGUGACAUUACAUACUAUCACUGAAAAUAGGCAGUUUUCUUGACUCAUACCCUGACUUUGAGAAGGGAUUGGGUGAUUAGUUUAGCAGCCACAUGAUGCUGCAUGACAAUGAGAACACAAUUGGUCGACAGUGUGCUGUGUGGACGUUUUAUAUUUAAUUAUUCAUUGCCUAACGUGAUUCCUUUCUCCACUAUCUCAGGCGUCAUGUUGCUGAAUGGCACAAAAAAAUUGCUAAGAAUCAUGAUGAAAAUGGCCAUAACUAGCAAAGGAUCAUGGUCGUUGUAGUCAUUUUCAUCCUGCCUGAGAGUCAACCUUAAUGGUUGUUUAGCAACACAACCGACGCCUAAGCAACUAUUUGGCAAAACAGACAGGGUUGGCAGUUGACUUAGAUUGUUGACUAUGGAAAGCCAUUUGGGUCUUUGCGUGUAAAAAAACAAAAAAA
This 1255-nucleotide long non-coding RNA is filed under the name Salmo salar (Atlantic salmon). RNAcentral describes it as "lncRNA (ENSSSAG00000099549.1, ENSSSAG00020061706.1)". Lineage: Eukaryota; Metazoa; Chordata; Actinopteri; Salmoniformes; Salmonidae. The record is from RNAcentral.